This 460-nucleotide ribosomal RNA is filed under the name uncultured bacterium. RNAcentral's name for it is "partial 16S ribosomal RNA". It matches the Rfam family "Bacterial small subunit ribosomal RNA", at positions 338 to 795 of the family's 1533-position model. The record is from RNAcentral.
CCUACGGGGGGCUGCAGUGAGGAAUAUUGGUCAAUGGACGAGAGUCUGAACCAGCCAAGUAGCGUGAAGGAUGACUGCCCUAUGGGUUGUAAACUUCUUUUAUAUGGGAAUAAAGUGAGGAACGUGUUCCUUUUUGUAUGUACCAUAUGAAUAAGCAUCGGCUAACUCCGUGCCAGCAGCCGCGGUAAUACGGAGGAUGCGAGCGUUAUCCGGAUUUAUUGGGUUUAAAGGGUGCGUAGGUGGUUAAUUAAGUCAGCGGUUAAAGUUUGUGGCUCAACCAUAAAAUUGCCGUUGAAACUGGUUGACUUGAGUAUAUUUGAGGUAGGCGGAAUGCGUGGUGUAGCGGUGAAAUGCAUAGAUAUCACGCAGAACUCCGAUUGCGAAGGCAGCUUACUAAACUAUAACUGACACUGAAGCACGAAAGCGUGGGGAUCAAACAGGAUUAGAUACCCUUGUAGUC